RNAcentral lists this ribosomal RNA (665 nucleotides) under uncultured fungus. RNAcentral describes it as "eukaryotic LSU rRNA". It matches the Rfam family "Eukaryotic large subunit ribosomal RNA", at positions 24 to 664 of the family's 3401-position model. Lineage: Eukaryota; Fungi. The record is from RNAcentral.
CCCGCUGAACUUAAGCAUAUCAAUAAGCGGAGGAAAAGAAACUAACAAGGAUUCCCCUAGUAACUGCGAGUGAAGAGGGAAAAGCUCAAAUUUAAAAUCUGGCAGUCUUUGAUUGUCCGAGUUGUAAUUUAGAGAAGCGUCUUCCGCGCUGGGCCGUGCACAAGUCUCCUGGAAUGGAGCGUCACAGAGGGUGAGAAUCCCGUCUUUGGCAUGGACACACCAGGGCUUUUGUGAUGCGCUCUCGAAGAGUCGAGUUGUUUGGGAAUGCAGCUCAAAAUGGGUGGUGAACUCCAUCUAAAGCUAAAUAUUGGCGAGAGACCGAUAGCGAACAAGUACCGUGAGGGAAAGAUGAAAAGCACUUUGGAAAGAGAGUGAAACAGUACGUGAAAUUGUUGAAAGGGAAACGCUUGAAGUCAGUCGCGUCGACCGAGACUCAGCCUUGCCUCGGCUUGGUGUACUUCUCGGCUGACGGGUCAGCAUCAAUUUUGCCCCUUGGAUAAUGAUGAGGGAAAUGUGACACCUUUAUGGUGUGUUAUAGUCUCUUGUCGCAUGCAAGGGUCGGGAUUGAGGAACUCAGCACGCACCUUUGGGUGUCGGGGCUUUGCCCACGAUACGUGCUUAGGAUGUUGGCGUAAUGGCUUUAAACGACCCGUCUUGAAACACGG